Molecule: ribosomal RNA, 440 nt
Filed under: uncultured bacterium
Lineage: Bacteria
Description: partial 16S ribosomal RNA
Rfam family: Bacterial small subunit ribosomal RNA
Source: RNAcentral
CCUACGGGUGGCAGCAGUGGGGGAUAUUGCACAAUGGGGGAAACCCUGAUGCAGCGACGCCGCGUGUGGGAAGACGGUCUUCUGGAUUGUAAACCCCUGUCUCCAGGGACGAAAAUGACGGUACCUGGGGAGGAAGCUCCGGCUAACUACGUGCCAGCAGCCGCGGUAAUACGCAGGGAGCAAGGGUUGUCCGGAAUUACUGGGUGAAAAGGGAGCGUAGGCGGGGAUGCAAGUUGGGUGUCAAAACUACCGGCUCAACCGAUAGUCGCACUCAAAACUGCAGCUCUUGAGUGAAGUAGAGGCAGGCGGAAUUCCUAGUGUAGCGGUGAAAUGCGUAGAUAUUAGGAGGAACACCAGUGGCGAAGGCGGCCUGCUGGGCUUUUACUGACGCUGAGGCGCGAAAGUGUGGGGAGCAAACAGGAUUAGAUACCCGUGUAGUC